Long non-coding RNA from Micropterus salmoides (largemouth bass), 454 nucleotides. RefSeq lists it as uncharacterized. The transcript is spliced from 3 exons. NCBI's taxonomy places the organism in Eukaryota, Metazoa, Chordata, Actinopteri, Centrarchiformes, Centrarchidae. The record is from RefSeq and is a predicted model, not a curated record.
CAGUCAUUACAUUUGCCCAGCCCUCUUUUAGUACAAGGCUGUGAUUUUACUGCUGCAACAAACAUUUCCAGACAACAGAGAAAGGACAGUCAUGAUGCUUGCAGUUUUCCUCUUUCUGCUCACCCUCACAGGUAGAAGUACAUCCAAUUACACAGAGCCACCGGAGCAACAUGAUGAUCAACAGAACUUCAAUCAGAGCUCUGAAAAAAUAAAUAGGGAUUCCUCUGAGGGUAAAUGUGGUUAUCAGGAUGUUUUGAACCACCUGAACCUGACCAAAAAAAAUGAUCUGUACAACAUGGCCCGGCCUGUUAAACACUACAGUACAACUACAGUCAUACAAUUCCAAAUGCUGCUGCAUAGCAUCCUAGAUGUGGUAAGUUUUAAAUUAAGCUUUACAUUUUCUGUCAUUUUUUUCUUUUUAAUGGUAAUGAUUAUUUCCUCUGCAAAGGACAGU